CCUACGGGGGGCAGCAGUGGGGAAUAUUGGACAAUGGGGGGAACCCUGAUCCAGCCAUGCCGCGUGUGUGAAGAAGGCCCUCGGGUUGUAAAGCACUUUCAGUGAGGAAGAACGCCUGGUGGUUAAUACCCAUCAGGAAAGACAUCACUCACAGAAGAAGCACCGGCUAACUCCGUGCCAGCAGCCGCGGUAAUACGGAGGGUGCGAGCGUUAAUCGGAAUUACUGGGCGUAAAGCGCGCGUAGGUGGCUUGAUAAGCCGGUUGUGAAAGCCCCGGGCUCAACCUGGGAAUGGCAUCCGGAACUGUCAAGCUAGAGUGCAGGAGAGGAAGGUAGAAUUCCCGGUGUAGCGGUGAAAUGCGUAGAGAUCGGGAGGAAUACCAGUGGCGAAGGCGGCCUUCUGGACUGACACUGACACUGAGGUGCGAAAGCGUGGGUAGCAAACAGGAUUAGAUACCCCAGUAGUC
This 465-nucleotide ribosomal RNA is filed under the name Vreelandella stevensii. RNAcentral describes it as "partial 16S ribosomal RNA". It matches the Rfam family "Bacterial small subunit ribosomal RNA", at positions 338 to 795 of the family's 1533-position model. The record is from RNAcentral. Lineage: Bacteria; Pseudomonadati; Pseudomonadota; Gammaproteobacteria; Oceanospirillales; Halomonadaceae.